Molecule: ribosomal RNA, 497 nt
Filed under: uncultured bacterium
Lineage: Bacteria
Description: partial 16S ribosomal RNA
Rfam family: Bacterial small subunit ribosomal RNA
Source: RNAcentral
GACGAACGCUGGCGGCGUGCCUAAUACAUGCAAGUAGAACGCUGAAGAGAGGAGCUUGCUCUUCUUGGAUGAGUUGCGAACGGGUGAGUAACGCGUAGGUAACCUGCCUUGUAGCGGGGGAUAACUAUUGGAAACGAUAGCUAAUACCGCAUAACAAUGGAUGACCCAUGUCAUUUAUUUGAAAGGGGCAAAUGCUCCACUACAAGAUGGACCUGCGUUGUAUUAGCUAGUAGGCGAGGUAACGGCUCACCUAGGCGACGAUACAUAGCCGACCUGAGAGGGUGAUCGGCCACACUGGGACUGAGACACGGCCCAGACUCCUACGGGAGGCAGCAGUAGGGAAUCUUCGGCAAUGGGGGCAACCCUGACCGAGCAACGCCGCGUGAGUGAAGAAGGUUUUCGGAUCGUAAAGCUCUGUUGUAAGUCAAGAACGAGUGUGAGAGUGGAAAGUUCACGCUGUGACGGUAGCUUACCAGAAAGGGACGGCUAACUACGUG